Molecule: unclassified non-coding RNA, 344 nt
Filed under: soil metagenome
Description: partial contains 5.8S ribosomal RNA, internal transcribed spacer 2, and large subunit ribosomal RNA
Rfam family: 5.8S ribosomal RNA (bases 3-118)
Source: RNAcentral
GAGAAGAACGUAGCGAAAUGCGAUACGUAAUGUGAAUUGCAAAUUCAGUGAAUCAUCGUGUCUUUGAACGCACAUUGCGCCCCCUGGUAUUCCGGGGGGCAUGCCUGUCCGAGCGUCAUUGCUGCCCUCAAGCACGGCUUGUGUGUUGGGCCCCGUCCUCCGAUCCCGGGGGACGGGCCCGAAAGGCAGCGGCGGCACCGCGUCCGGUCCUCGAGCGUAUGGGGCUUUGUCACCCGCUCUGUAGGCCCGGCCGGCGCUUGCCGAUCAACCCAAAUUUUUAUCCAGGUUGACCUCGGAUCAGGUAGGGAUACCCGCUGAACUUAAGCAUAUCAAUAAGCGGAGGA